Molecule: long non-coding RNA, 811 nt
Organism: Ictalurus punctatus (channel catfish)
Lineage: Eukaryota; Metazoa; Chordata; Actinopteri; Siluriformes; Ictaluridae
Source: Ensembl
AGAAGAGGAAAUGAUUUACAGAUGAACCUCAGACAUGGACAUGUAUAUUUUGUUAUUCUGUUAUGGAUGGUUAUAGAUAAUGUCUGCCUGCUUAGCCCCGCCCCCUCAGCUCUCUGGAAUUAUCCAUGGACCCACUUCCUUAGUUCACCGUUGUUAUCCAUGGCCCCAACCCUUUCUUUCUCUACACUCAACCAUAUCUCUGUAGAUGUCUACUUGGUCCCGCCCUCUCAACUUUACGAGUCAUGCACUAGGCCCCGCCCCCAGUGCCCUGGAAUCAAGCAAAUCGCCCACUCAGCUUUCUUGUGCAAUCUGCUUGCUGCAGCGUCCUUUACCUAUCUGAAUUGAUCUACUAUGCCCCACCCUCUUCAGCCCUCUGAAGUUGUUCACUUGGCCCCAGCUACUCAUCUGUUGAGUUGUUUUGUGACCGCGCCCCCUCAGCUCCCUACAGUCAUCCACAUCGACCGUGAGAAGAUGAUUAUUUAAUGUUUAUGGAAGGAGUCUCCAGUGUCCGAGAGAAUAAAGAGUGAGGGAACAUCUGUUUAUACAGUAGCUGCUAUCACAUUUGCAGUUCAGCUGUCAGUCAUGUUGCUCCGCCCCCAGGAGACAGCACUGAAGUGAGAAGGUGUUGAUAUUGACAUGGAGCCGUGCAGCAGCGUUACGCUCUGGAGUUACUGUUUAACUAAUGACCAUAUGGCUUUGUGUAAACAUUCUCCCAUUUGAACAAUGGAGAUGUGGGGGAGAAGUGCUUUUCAAGUUUCUACUUUGAUGGACACAAAAGAAUAACACCGAUCAGCCAUAACAUUAAAACCAC